Molecule: long non-coding RNA, 475 nt
Organism: Rhagoletis zephyria (snowberry fruit fly)
Lineage: Eukaryota; Metazoa; Arthropoda; Insecta; Diptera; Tephritidae
Source: RefSeq, a predicted model, not a curated record
UACUUAGAAAAAUUGCUGACCGUAGGGAAAGAAAGUGCUAACAGUUCAGAGAUAAGUGAAGGCGUACUGAAAACUUUGAAAAAUAUAAUAUCUGAAGAAAUCACUAGAAAUUACAAUAUAGAAGGCGUUCAUGGCAAGAAAUCUUUAAAAACCAUGGCAAAUUUUUAUUCUGCACUAUUGGAUUCCAUUCCUAUUAAUGAAAAUUGCAGCGGAUCAGCAGAAACACAGCUUAGAAAAGCAAUCCAAUUGCAGAAAAAGCGGCAUUUUAAAAAGCUUGCAAACACUCGCACCGAAUAAUUAACAUAUGUAUAUGUAAAAGCAUAACGCUUACAAAAGUGAAUUUAUAAAUUUAUUUUAUUUUUAUUAAUUUAUUUUACUUAUUUUUUCCGAUACACAGUGCCGGACAAAACUUUUGGCAUAGAGAAUUUUUCGUAAUAUAUGUAAAGUUUUUCAUUCUAAUUUAUUUUCGAAAAUU